Molecule: non-coding RNA, 71 nt
Organism: Ictidomys tridecemlineatus (thirteen-lined ground squirrel)
Lineage: Eukaryota; Metazoa; Chordata; Mammalia; Rodentia; Sciuridae
Source: Rfam
GAGGUUGUGGCUCAGUGGUAGAGUUCUCGCUUAGCACACGUGAGGCCCUGAGUUCAAUCCUCAGUACCACA